This 382-nucleotide unclassified non-coding RNA is filed under the name uncultured Agaricales. RNAcentral's name for it is "sequence contains 5.8S rRNA gene, ITS2, 28S rRNA gene". The stretch from base 1 to 52 matches the Rfam family "5.8S ribosomal RNA", at positions 103 to 154 of the family's 154-position model. The record is from RNAcentral. Lineage: Eukaryota; Fungi; Basidiomycota; Agaricomycetes; Agaricales.
AACGCACCUUGCGCCUCUUGGUAUUCCGAGAGGCAUGCCUGUUUGAGUGUCAUUAAAUUCUCAACUUCAAAAGCUCUUGUCUUUUUGAAGCUUGGAUGUGAAGGCUUGCUGGCGUUUUUAAAUGUCUAGCUCCUUUGAAAAGUAUUAGUGGACCCGUUUGUGUUCAUCCUUAGUGUGAUAAUUAUCUACGCUGUGGCUUUGAAUGCAUGCUCAUUAGAACUUUUCGAGCUGUUGUUUUUACUACAGUCUCGGUGUGGAGAGUUGCGUGAAUUUGCUCUUUCUGUCUCUUGAGUCAGGAUUGUCUGCUUCAAACCGUCUACAUAUUGUAGACAAUUUUGAACCAUUUGACCUCAAAUCAGGUAGGAUUACCCGCUGAACUUAA